AAUUCGUUAGUAGGUUACCUUGGGUAAUUAGAUGAAGUACAACAACUAAGUUAUUAAACUUAGUUAAAUGUCUAAUAAAUAAGUAAAGGAAUGAAGUUUGUGGCAACUAUGAUGAUGUGUUAGAGUUGAGGGACCUAGAUUGCCAUAAUGUAAACUAAAAUUUAAUAAAAAAAAAAAGAAAGAAAAAUAAAACCACAACACACACUGUGCGUGUGUGUGGUCGAUCGCACAAGGCAGAGGGAAAGGGGUAAACCCUAAUUCUCAAGAAAUCUCCAAAUUGAAAAGGGAAUUGAAGGUUUUUAGGAUGCAUGUAUCAAGAUUAUCGAUCUCCUAAGUGUUCUUCACUAUCAAGAACGUGUCAAGGAGAGGUCAAGCAUAGGAGGAUAACGGGUCAAGAUAAGGCAAGGUGACAAAUACACUUAAUGGAGUACUCGAGGUAAGUGAAUUUCGAUUCACUUUUUAGUAGGUUUAAUAGAUUUUAAUACUUAUGUUUACGAAACAUCAUGAAAGAACAUGUAAUAAUCAGAAGUACAAAGCCAAUAAUGCCUCAUUAUUGAGGAAGGUUGUAUUUAAGCCGAAAGUAAAUUGGUGGGUUUAAACGGGUCGAAUUUUAUGUGCAUAUGUUGCGUAAUGUAAUGAAAUUCGUUAUGGUUAAGACCUUGGGUAGGAAUUUUUAGUCAUUAUGUAAGGGGAACACUUCCCGGACCAUUAGGAACAAGUUUUAUAUGAUUCGGUUGUCGGUUAGUUAAUGAACGGAUUGUUUCAUGUUAGUGUAGGAAAUUUUAUAAGUAUAUGUGUAUAGGAACCCAAAGGGCACGUGGGUUGAAUCAUAGAUUGUCUAUACUAUGUAAAGUUGUGAAUGUGACAUUCCGGCAUAAACCUACAUGUAAAAGAAGCUUGUGUAUAUAUUCGUGAUUAAUUGAUUGUGCGUAGGAAGGAACAUUGGCAUGUAUGAAGGUACGCAUGUAUAUGUAAGUGUGUAUAUAUACAUAUAUGUAUGUAUGUAUGAUAAUAAGUACGUAGGUGUGAAUGUAUGUGUGAAUGAAUGUUCAAUGCUUAAGACAUAUGCAUGAACGUUAUCAAAGUGUUCGAGUAUUUAUGGUUACUAAUGAUGUGCGUCGAGUUGGAAUGUAAUGUAGGUAUGGGAUCGUCGGCUUCAUGAAGAAAUGGAGCUGGAUUUGGAUAAGAGUAUUUAAGAAAGCGCUUGGACAAUUCCACGACUACUUUAUAGAAUGCUCUACGAAAUUCUAUUAUAUAGUUUAAUGUUGUAUGGUAUGUUAAUGACUAAUGGUUUGGUUGUACGUGGUGUCCACAGGUAUCGCUUGGGUUUUCUCUACAUUUAUUGAAGUGAAGCGGACUUAGUUCGAGUUGAGAGCAAGGAUUGUACGGGGUAGAAUGGUCACAUAGUGUAACUCAUAUAGAUUUUGAAGUAUUAAUGUUAUAAAUCCGUUUUAAUGAAUAUAUGGCUUUUCGCAUUUGAACCUUCAUGUGUUUGAUAUGUCUAUUAAAGAACGAAAUUUUUGGGCUCUUGUUUUCCGCUGCGUCGUAUUUUAAGUUAUUACACGUUAGUCUUACAGGGAAUUGUUCUUAUUACGAACGGGUCAUGCCCGAAUUUUGUUAAAUAAUAGUAUGAUAAUAUUACAUUUUGGAAUGUGUAAUUUGGGCGUUAUAAGUUGGUAUCAGAGCCCUGGUUUGAGGGAAAUCAAGUAUGAGGAGGCAAAUACUUGAACUCAAACCUGUGUGCUCUUGUGACGAGAAACCCGUACAAUCCAAGACUCGAUCAAGAUCUAAAGGUAGAAGCAAAUGUAAGUAUGAAUUUAAGUAUGUUUAUGAAGAAACUAACAUUAUGUUGUGUGUAAGAUAAGCAUAGUUGUUUGGAUGAGGAUGAUCCACGACUGUGGUCUCGGACUGACACCAAGGCAUGUAAUAAGACCAUUGCCCAGGUCAGUGAAAGAAUGUUCAUAAGCGAAAGCUCGUCACACGGAUAAACGAGGUCAAUACGAAACAUGGUAUGGAUGGGGACGAAGAGGACCGACUCGUUGCUGCAUGUUCAAGUACUGCACCAAGGUAGUAAGGUUAGCAAAUUAUUUAAUAUAUGAAGGUACGAUGCUCGAAUCCCUCAAACCUACGCUCUCGUGAAAGUGUGUUCGUUUCUAAACGCCACGCAAGUAAGUGAUUUAAGGAUUUCGAGCUAUGCUUUUAGAUGAAAACGGAAAUGGGUUAUGGAUAAAUUACUAUUAUAACCUGGGUUGGGACGUUAUGGGAUGUUAGGGAAGGUUUCGGGACUGCCCGAGACCAUUUCUGGUUGAAAAAAAAAAGACCCGGGAACAAAAAUUUUUGGUCAAACAGCGUCUGCACACCAGAGAGCCCGUCGGCGACGGCCUUUAUGCCGUCGGCGACGGCACCCCUCCACCUGACGCGCUAACUGUCUGUCUACGGGCAAUGUUUAGCGACGGGACCUUCCCGAGCCCGUCAGCGACGCACCAUGUGCCGUCGGCGACGGGUCCCCCUUAUCUGCUUAUGCUGAAAUUGUUUGUUUAUUAGGCUAAGGUCCUUAAUUCAGUUCUAGCAUUCAUUAAACACUAAGAACACCCCAGAUUGAUUAUGAAGCUAGGAAAUUCAAGACAACUAUCGUGUUUUAAUGAUGAAUGUGUGGGAAGUUAUGUAUGCGAACGGAUGAAAUAAGUAACACAUCUAGAAUGUUUGUAAAGAAAGAUUGGGUAAGUUUAUAAAAAUUUUACGCUAUCAUUGAGAAAGUACCUCCGUAUGAAUAAGUACGAUAUGUUAAAUGUGUACGAAUGAACGAGAUUGAAUGCGGAAAUGAAUAAAAUAAUGAUGACUAGGGAUUGGUUUUCGCAAAGAAGUUUGAAAUCUUGAUAAGUAUGAAUAAUAUGUCAGGAUGCUAGUUUCAAAUUAUGGACUAUGGGAUCUGUGAUUAGGCAAUUUCUCACAACAUGCUUAUGUAAGUCGUCCAAUGUCACUUGAAUGAAUGAACGAACGAAGAAUAAAACUAGAUGGGUUAUAGAAGAAAUGAAAGAGGUUUCGGGGACGAAACCUUCUUUAAGGGGGAUAGAUUUGUAACACCCCAAAACUCGAAUUAUUAAAUUCGUUAGUAGGUUACCUUGGGUAAUUAGAUGAAGUACAACAACUAAGUUAUUAAACUUAGUUAAAUGUCUAAUAAAUAAGUAAAGGAAUGAAGUUUGUGGCAACUAUGAUGAUGUGUUAGAGUUGAGGGACCUAGAUUGCCAUAAUGUAAACUAAAAUUUUAUAAAAAAAAAGAAAGAAAAAUAAAACCACAACACACACUGUGCGUGUGUGUGGUCGAUCGCACAAGGCAGAGGGAAAGGGGUAAACCCUAAUUCUCAAGAAAUCUCCAAAUUGAAAAGGGAAUUGAAGGUUUUUAGGAUGCAUGUAUCAAGAUUAUCGAUCUCCUAAGUGUUCUUCACUAUCAAAUAAUAGGAACGUGUCAAGGAGAGGUCAAGCAUAGGAGGAUGACGGGUCAAGAUAAGGCAAGGUGACAAAUACACUUAAUGGAGUACUCGAGGUAAGUGAAUUUCGAUUCACUUUUUAGUAGGUUUAAUAGAUUUUAAUACUUAUGUUUACGAAACAUCAUGAAAGAACAUGUAAUAAUCAGAAGUACAAAGCCAAUAAUGCCUCAUUAUUGAGGAAGGUUGUAUUUAAGCCGAAAGUAAAUUGGUGGGUUUAAACGGGUCGAAUUUUAUGUGCAUAUGUUGCGUAAUGUAAUGAAAUUCGUUAUGGUUAAGACCUUGGGUAGGAAUUUUUAGUCAUUAUGUAAGGGGAACACUUCCCGGACCAUUAGGAACAAGUUUUAUAUGAUUCGGUUGUCGGUUAGUUAAUGAACGGAUUGUUUCAUGUUAGUGUAGGAAAUUUUAUAAGUAUAUGUGUAUAGGAACCCAAAGGGCACGUGGGUUGAAUCAUAGAUUGUCUAUACUAUGUAAAGUUGUGAAUGUGACAUUCCGGCAUAAACCUACAUGUAAAAGAAGCUUGUGUAUAUAUUCGUGAUUAAUUGAUUGUGCGUAGGAAGGAACAUUGGCAUGUAUGAAGGUACGCAUGUAUAUGUAAGUGUGUAUAUAUACAUAUAUGUAUGUAUGUAUGAUAAUAAGUACGUAGGUGUGAAUGUAUGUGUGAAUGAAUGUUCAAUGCUUAAGACAUAUGCAUGAACGUUAUCAAAGUGUUCGAGUAUUUAUGGUUACUAAUGAUGUGCGUCGAGUUGGAAUGUAAUGUAGGUAUGGGAUCGUUGGCUUCAUGAAGAAAUGGAGCUGGAUUUGGAUAAGAGUAUUUAAGAAAGCGCUUGGACAAUUCCACGACUACUUUAUAGAAUGCUCUACGAAAUUCUAUUAUAUAGUUUAAUGUUGUAUGGUAUGUUAAUGACUAAUGGUUUGGUUGUACGUGGUGUCCACAGGUAUCGCUUGGGUUUUCUCUACAUUUAUUGAAGUGAAGCGGACUUAGUUCGAGUUGAGAGCAAGGAUUGUACGGGGUAGAAUGGUCACAUAGUGUAACUCAUAUAGAUUUUGAAGUAUUAAUGUUAUAAAUCCGUUUUAAUGAAUAUAUGGCUUUUCGCAUUUGAACCUUCAUGUGUUUGAUAUGUCUAUUAAAGAACGAAAUUUUUGGGCU
Helianthus annuus (common sunflower) is the source of this 4635-nucleotide long non-coding RNA. RefSeq lists it as uncharacterized. The transcript has 4 exons. The record is from RefSeq and is a predicted model, not a curated record. NCBI's taxonomy places the organism in Eukaryota, Viridiplantae, Streptophyta, Magnoliopsida, Asterales, Asteraceae.